RNAcentral lists this ribosomal RNA (956 nucleotides) under Bifidobacterium sp. AmmpolR4. Its description in RNAcentral is "bacterial SSU rRNA". It matches the Rfam family "Bacterial small subunit ribosomal RNA", at positions 49 to 1018 of the family's 1533-position model. The record is from RNAcentral. Lineage: Bacteria; Bacillati; Actinomycetota; Actinomycetes; Bifidobacteriales; Bifidobacteriaceae.
UUACCAUGCAGUCGACGGGAUCCGGGCAGCUUGCUGCCUGGUGAGAGUGGCGAACGGGUGAGUAAUGCGUGACCAACCUGCCCCAUGCUUCGGAAUAGCUCCUGGAAACGGGUGGUAAUGCCGGAUGCUCCGCACUGUCGCAUGAUGGUGUGGGAAAGGGUUUACCGGCAUGGGAUGGGGUCGCGUCCUAUCAGCUUGUUGGCGGGGUGAUGGCCUGCCAAGGCUUCGACGGGUAGCCGGCCUGAGAGGGCGACCGGCCACAUUGGGACUGAGAUACGGCCCAGACUCCUACGGGAGGCAGCAGUGGGGAAUAUUGCACAAUGGGCGAAAGCCUGAUGCAGCGACGCCGCGUGCGGGAUGACGGCCUUCGGGUUGUAAACCGCUUUUGAUUGGGAGCAAGCGAGAGUGAGUGUACCUUUCGAAUAAGCACCGGCUAACUACGUGCCAGCAGCCGCGGUAAUACGUAGGGUGCAAGCGUUAUCCGGAUUUAUUGGGCGUAAAGAGCUCGUAGGCGGUUCGUCGCGUCUGGUGUGAAAGUCCAUCGCUUAACGGUGGAUCGGCGCCGGGUACGGGCGGACUGGAGUGCGGUAGGGGAGACUGGAAUUCCCGGUGUAACGGUGGAAUGUGUAGAUAUCGGGAAGAACACCGAUGGCGAAGGCAGGUCUCUGGGCCGUCACUGACGCUGAGGAGCGAAAGCGUGGGGAGCGAACAGGAUUAGAUACCCUGGUAGUCCACGCCGUAAACGGUGGAUGCUGGAUGUGGGGCCCGUUCCACGGGUUCCGUGUCGGAGCUAACGCGUUAAGCAUCCCGCCUGGGGAGUACGGCCGCAAGGCUAAAACUCAAAGAAAUUGACGGGGGCCCGCACAAGCGGCGGAGCAUGCGGAUUAAUUCGAUGCAACGCGAAGAACUUACCUGGGCUUGACAUGUGCCGGACGGCGCGGAGACGCGGCUUCCCU